This 75-nucleotide transfer RNA is filed under the name Bacillota bacterium. RNAcentral describes it as "tRNA-Glu". It matches the Rfam family "tRNA". Rfam says of the family: Transfer RNA (tRNA) molecules are approximately 80 nucleotides in length. Their secondary structure includes four short double-helical elements and three loops (D, anti-codon, and T loops). The record is from RNAcentral. Lineage: Bacteria; Bacillati; Bacillota. RNAcentral also lists the same sequence under 2 other names.
GGCCUGUUAGUCAAGUGGUCAAGACGUCGCCCUCUCACGGCGAAGGCAGGGGUUCGACUCCCCUACGGGUCACCA